GCAGCCGGUUUGUUUUCCUCUUUAGGGUUGCUACAUUGAUCCCACUCCCGCCUCCUCCCGCUGUCAGACCGGUCCUGAGCCGGUGAGAGUCAGUGUGACCCGGACUGCGGCAGUCCCGCUCUACCCCGGCUCACCCGGCCCUGUCCAUUUGUAAUGAGCGACGGACACAUCACAGCCGAGUGGCCUCGGGAGCGGCAGAUCAGACUCAACUCUCCGUACAGGGUGAGCACACCGGUGCAGGAACAUUGUCGGUCACCCGGGUAGUCAGACUGUGAUCUCCAGGGAUCACACUGAACGCCGUCUGGUUACAACAUCAGAGUUAGAUCUGGGCUGAGAGAUAUAUUGGAAGAAAAGCCCAGGACUGGAAGAAAACCACAACUGAAGACAAGGGAACAGCAACAAUCAACCAGCCCGAGGACUGAGAGCACCAAACGGAGAGAACCCCUCUGACUCAGAGUUUCCAUUGAUUCAGUCAGGGAAAGUUUGGGCAUCGCCAGCAAGUGGAGCUGUCCUGCACAGGGACUGAAGUGCAAACAAGAAGACGACAAUCAACAAUCGUCAG
This is a long non-coding RNA of Mobula hypostoma (lesser devil ray), 562 nucleotides long. RefSeq lists it as uncharacterized. The record is from RefSeq and is a predicted model, not a curated record. The transcript is spliced from 3 exons. Lineage: Eukaryota; Metazoa; Chordata; Chondrichthyes; Myliobatiformes; Myliobatidae.